AUCCAGAUGGUGAGCCCCAAAUAGGACGAAAUGCGCAUCCUAGAU
RNAcentral lists this non-coding RNA (45 nucleotides) under Trichobilharzia regenti. Lineage: Eukaryota; Metazoa; Platyhelminthes; Trematoda; Strigeidida; Schistosomatidae. The record is from RNAcentral.